Molecule: unclassified non-coding RNA, 405 nt
Filed under: soil metagenome
Description: partial contains 5.8S ribosomal RNA, internal transcribed spacer 2, and large subunit ribosomal RNA
Rfam family: 5.8S ribosomal RNA (bases 1-121)
Source: RNAcentral
GAUGAAGAACGUAGCGAAAUGCGAUAAGUAAUGUGAAUUGCAGAAUUCAGUGAAUCAUCGAAUCUUUGAACGCACCUUGCGCCCUUUGGCCAUUCCGAAGGGCAUGCCUGUUUGAGUAUCAUGAACACCUCAACUCUUCAUGGUUUGCCAUGAUGAGCUUGGACUUUGGGGGUCUUGCCGGCCUAUGGGUCGGCUCCUCUCAAAUUAAUCAGCUUGCCAGUGUUUGGUGGCAUCACAGGUGUGAUAACUAUCUACGCUUGUGGUUUUCCAUCAGGUAACCUUCAGUGAUGGAGGUUCGCUGGGGCUCAUAAAUGUCUCUCCUCAGUGAGGACAGCUUUUUUGAACGUUUGAUCUCAAAUCAGGUAGGACUACCCGCUGAACUUAAGCAUAUCAAUAAGCGGAGGA